RNAcentral lists this long non-coding RNA (254 nucleotides) under Prunus persica (peach). RNAcentral describes it as "long non-coding RNA (PPER_LNC001637)". Lineage: Eukaryota; Viridiplantae; Streptophyta; Magnoliopsida; Rosales; Rosaceae. The record is from RNAcentral.
UUAUUUUAGGGUUUUCAAGUUGAAAAUUGGAUGAAAUUAGGAAACAUCAAGCCUCUCUCUCAAAUCCCCUUGGUCGGCUACUUUGGAGAGCAAGAGUUAGCACUUUUGUGCUCUCCCAAGUUCUCAUUCUCUCAUCUCCAUCCAUCCUUGGUAAAUAGCAUUGGAGAGGUGCACACUAUUGUACCCAUUGAAGAGCUAUAGUGGAGAAUCAAGCAAGGAGAGAUCAAGCACUCUACUUGAACACCUUAUUAGGG